This is a long non-coding RNA of Stegodyphus dumicola, 701 nucleotides long. The record is from RefSeq and is a predicted model, not a curated record. NCBI's taxonomy places the organism in Eukaryota, Metazoa, Arthropoda, Arachnida, Araneae, Eresidae.
UUUCAUUCAGAAUCUUUUUACCAAAUCUUGGAAUCAUAUAAUAUUUCUUUCAUGUUAAUUACAUCAGGAUAAUUUUACUUAAUUUAUCACAUUUGAACAUUCUGUUUGAAUAAAAAGAUUUUUAACAUUGUGGAAUAAUACUCUAAAAUGAAAAACGUCUGCAAAUAUAAAUUGCGUUCAAAUGGUACACCAAGGCGCUUGAAACGAAGUGUAGGUGCUAAGGCGAAUAACAAGAAAAUCCUGAAAAAACAAGAAAAACGGCAGAAGAGUCGAAUUUCAAAAACCAAAAACACUUCAUAUUCGCAGUCAGAAGGAGAAAUGAUAUGCAUCAUCUGCUUAGAUACUGAAGAAAACGUAGAGGAACCUCGACGUCUGUUCUGCGGUCACUCUUUUCAUUUUAAAUGCAUCACCCAUUGGUUGAAAAUUAGGUACUUUUGUCCUAUUUGUCGCUCGCCACCAGAUUAUAUUUCUAGCGUUAUCUUAGCACGUUUCCGUCGGUAUUCCGUAAAUUUAUCGCAGUGGUUUCGGCAGAGUCUUGACAUUCAAUAAUCAUUAUAAACUUCUCGAAAUAGAAUCUUUUUGAUUGAUUUGUCACUAUUUUCAUGUUAAUGCAUUUUAUUUUAGAGCGUUAACUUCUUUACUUAUAAGUUGCAUUUAUUCUUGUUUUCAGUUAUUUAUGAAUAAAGUUAAUUAAAUUAGAA